RNAcentral lists this signal recognition particle RNA (304 nucleotides) under Vombatus ursinus (common wombat). RNAcentral describes it as "Metazoan signal recognition particle RNA (ENSVURG00010000786.1)". It matches the Rfam family "Metazoan signal recognition particle RNA". Rfam says of the family: The signal recognition particle (SRP) is a universally conserved ribonucleoprotein. Lineage: Eukaryota; Metazoa; Chordata; Mammalia; Diprotodontia; Vombatidae. The record is from Rfam by way of RNAcentral.
GCCAGGCAUGGUAGCAGAUGCUUGUAAUCUUUGCUACUAGGGGAGGCAGAGGCUGAUGGAUUACUUGAGUUCUGCAGUCCUGAACUGCAGGAGGACUAAAGUAGACCAGGUGUCUUUAGUAAGGUUGGCACCAACAUGGUGACACCCCCACACACACACCUAGGAGUAGGGGUGACACCAGGCUGCCUAAGGAGGGGCAAAGAAGUCCAGGUUUGAAACAGAGGUGGUCAAAGCUUCCAUGUCAAUCAACAGUUGGGUCAAGCUGCACUUUUGGCAUAGGUGAGAUAGGGAGAACUAGCCUCCA